AAUAGAAUUGCUGAGUCAUAUGGUAACUCUAUAUUUAAUAUUUUGAGGAACUGUUAGAUUGUUUUCUAAAAUGAUGGCACCAUUUUACAUUCCCACCAGUGUU
This 103-nucleotide microRNA precursor is filed under the name Marmota monax (woodchuck). The record is from RNAcentral. Lineage: Eukaryota; Metazoa; Chordata; Mammalia; Rodentia; Sciuridae.